UUUGAAAGGGAAACGAUUGAAGUCAGUCGUACCUAUGGGUAAUCAGCCUUUUGGGUGUGAUUUUGUGGAGCGUGAGGAGUUAAACGCCUUCAUGCCUGCAUAUUCGUGCACUUUGGGUGUACUUGCCCGUGUGUAAGUUAACAUCAAUUUUGGUGGUCAUAAAAUGGCUGGAGGAAUGUAGCUUCGAUCUUGUAUUGAAGUGUUAUAGCCUUCGGUAGAUGUGACGAUCGGGAUUGAGGAUUGCAACGGAUACCCUUCGGGGCUACCUGUCUGAUCUCUGAUUGUUGCUCUGGUGCCGAAAGCUUGCUUACGGUUAUUAAAGUCGAUGGUCAAUAGGUUAGAAUGGGUUAAAUUCGUUAAG
This 361-nucleotide ribosomal RNA is filed under the name uncultured Glomeromycotina. Its description in RNAcentral is "LSU rRNA". Lineage: Eukaryota; Fungi; Glomeromycota. The record is from RNAcentral.